Molecule: ribosomal RNA, 103 nt
Filed under: uncultured bacterium
Lineage: Bacteria
Description: partial 16S ribosomal RNA
Rfam family: Bacterial small subunit ribosomal RNA
Source: RNAcentral
UGGUGGGAGUGGCCUACCAAGGCAACGAUCAGUAGCCGGCCUGAGAGGGUGAACGGCCACAUUGGGACUGAGACACGGCCCAAACUCCUACGGGAGGCAGCAG